RNAcentral lists this ribosomal RNA (864 nucleotides) under Xerocomellus poederi. RNAcentral's name for it is "LSU rRNA". It matches the Rfam family "Eukaryotic large subunit ribosomal RNA", at positions 78 to 941 of the family's 3401-position model. Lineage: Eukaryota; Fungi; Basidiomycota; Agaricomycetes; Boletales; Boletaceae. The record is from RNAcentral.
CCCUAGUAACUGCGAGUGAAGCGGGAUGAGCUCAAAUUUUGAAUCUGGCGGUCUUUGGCCGUCCGAGUUGUAAUCUAGAGAAGCGUCUUCCGCGCUGGCCCGUGUACAAGUCUCCUGGAAAGGAGCGUCAUAGAGGGUGAGAAUCCCGUCUUUGACACGGACUACCAGUGCUAUGUGAUGCGCUCUCGACGAGUCGAGUUGUUUGGGAAUGCAGCUCAAAAUGGGUGGUAAAUUCCAUCUAAAGCUAAAUACAGGCGAGAGACCGAUAGCGAACAAGUACCGUGAGGGAAAGAUGAAAAGAACUUUGGAAAGAGAGUUAAACCGUACGUGAAAUUGCUGAAAGGGAAACGCUUGAUGUCAGUCGCGUCGGCCGGGGAUCAACCUCGCUUUUCGCUGGGUGUACUUCCUGGUCGACGGGUCAGCAUCGGUUUCGGUCGCCGUACAAGGGCGAGGGGAACGUGGCACUCUCCGGAGUGUGUUAUAGCCCUUCGUCGCAUGCGGUGGUCGGGACCGAGGAACUCGGCACGGCUUCGGUCUGUGCUUAGGAUGCUGGCAUAAUGGCCUUAAGCGACCCGUCUUGAAACACGGACCAAGGAGUCUAACAUGCCUGCGAGUGUUUGGGUGGCAAACUCGAGCGCGAAAUGAAAGUGAAAGUCGAGACCUCUGUCGUGGAGGGCACCGACGCCCGGACCCGAGUCUUUGACGAAGGAUCUGCGGUAGAGCAUGCAUGUUGGGACCCGAAAGAUGGUGAACUAUGCCUGAAUAGGGUGAAGCCAGAGGAAACUCUGGUGGAGGCUCGUAGCGAUUCUGACGUGCAAAUCGAUCGUCGAAUUUGGGUAUAGGGGGCGAAAGACUAAUCGAACC